This 522-nucleotide ribosomal RNA is filed under the name uncultured bacterium. RNAcentral's name for it is "bacterial SSU rRNA". It matches the Rfam family "Bacterial small subunit ribosomal RNA", at positions 8 to 525 of the family's 1533-position model. The record is from RNAcentral.
AGAGUUUGAUCCUGGCUCAGAUUGAACGCUGGCGGCAUGCUUUACACAUGCAAGUCGAACGGCAGCGGGGGCUUCGGCCUGCCGGCGAGUGGCGAACGGGUGAGUAAUGCAUCGGAACGUGCCCAGUCAUGGGGGAUAACUACGCGAAAGCGUAGCUAAUACCGCAUACGCCCUGAGGGGGAAAGCGGGGGAUCGUAAGACCUCGCGUGAUUGGAGCGGCCGAUGUCGGAUUAGCUAGUUGGUGGGGUAAAGGCCUACCAAGGCGACGAUCCGUAGCGGGUCUGAGAGGAUGAUCCGCCACACUGGAACUGAGACACGGUCCAGACUCCUACGGGAGGCAGCAGUGGGGAAUAUUGCACAAUGGGCGCAAGCCUGAUGCAGCCAUGCCGCGUGUAUGAAGAAGGCCUUCGGGUUGUAAAGUACUUUCAGCGGGGAGGAAGGGGAUGUGGUUAAUAACCGCAUCCAUUGACGUUACCCGCAGAAGAAGCACCGGCUAACUCCGUGCCAGCAGCCGCGGUAAUA